AAAGGAUAUGGUGGUUUUAUGGUGGUGUAGAGAUUGUGAAGUUAGGAUUGGUAAGUAUGAAGGAGAAGGAAAAAGAUAUAGGAGUAGUGUAAAGGAGAAGAAAGGAUAUGGAGAAGUAAUACAAGAGAAGAAAAGAAAGAAAAUGAAGAAAUGAAAAAGAAAAAAAAAUUAAUAAAAAAAUUUAAAAUACAGGAAACUACAUGUCAAUUUAAUAACAAUCAAAUAAAUUAAAUAUUAAAUAUAAUUAAAUAUUUGUCUUUAAUAUGAUGAAAGUACUAAUUAAAC
This 285-nucleotide long non-coding RNA is filed under the name Vigna radiata. Its description in RNAcentral is "long non-coding RNA (VRAD_LNC010312)". Lineage: Eukaryota; Viridiplantae; Streptophyta; Magnoliopsida; Fabales; Fabaceae. The record is from RNAcentral.